AAGUGGUUGAUGAGCAAAAUAGCGAUGGCAGCAGAAAUGCAGGAGGCGAAGAGGAUACUCUGCCAAGUGUUGAAGUGGUUGAUGAGCAAAAUAGGGAUGGCAGCAGAAAUGCAGGAAGCGAAGUGGAUCCUCUGCCAAGUAUAGAAGUGGUUGAUGAGCAAAAUAGGGAUGGCAGCAGAAAUGCAGGAAGCGAGGACGAUACUCU
Molecule: long non-coding RNA, 205 nt
Filed under: Dendronephthya gigantea
Lineage: Eukaryota; Metazoa; Cnidaria; Anthozoa; Malacalcyonacea; Nephtheidae
Description: uncharacterized LOC114542726
Source: RNAcentral